GGCCGGAUGGCGCAAUGGUAGCGCGCAGUCCUCCUAAGACUGAGGUUCUGGGUUCGAGUCCCAGUUCGGUCG
Molecule: transfer RNA, 72 nt
Filed under: Tuber melanosporum (Perigord truffle)
Lineage: Eukaryota; Fungi; Ascomycota; Pezizomycetes; Pezizales; Tuberaceae
Also listed under: 1 other name
Description: tRNA-Arg (CCT) (tRNA-Arg-CCT-1-1)
Rfam family: tRNA
About the family: Transfer RNA (tRNA) molecules are approximately 80 nucleotides in length.
Source: RNAcentral